Anthonomus grandis grandis is the source of this 999-nucleotide long non-coding RNA. RefSeq lists it as uncharacterized. The transcript is spliced from 3 exons. The record is from RefSeq and is a predicted model, not a curated record. Lineage: Eukaryota; Metazoa; Arthropoda; Insecta; Coleoptera; Curculionidae.
UAAAAUAGAAUUUGUGGAUCAAAUGACAAAUACAAUACUAUGGAAUAGCGAACUGUUACUAUGGAAUAGUGAAUAUUUAAUGGUAAAGUUGUACUGUAGUACCUUAGAACAUUGAAAGGCUAAAAUUGGUAAACAAAAACUUUGUUUGAGUCCAACAUGUGCACAGGGGCAAGAGGGGUGUGUUGUUUACAAACAUAUUUGCCGAUUCUCUGUUGUCAAGUCGACGCGAAUUUCCAACGGAGGAAAUUUUUUGCUAUAUUUUAACAACCAUUAUAACGUUAAUUUAACUUACUUGUGUUGUAUUUUAUAGGAAAAUUUAAAUUAAAAAAUAUAAAUACUACAAUUAACCUAUUUUAAGAAUAAAUAUAAUAUCCUUAAGCAAAAAAAAACAAAAUUAUUAACAUUCUUAUCCCUAAAACCGUUUCUAAAAAAUUUGAAGCGACAACACCGGAACUUAAGCGCCUGAGCCAUACGCAUAGUGUCAUCUGUCAAACGGCUUUUUGUUUAUGUUCGGGAUUCGUGUAUUUUCUUUAAUUUUUUGGUUUCAAAAGGAAAAAGGUCACAUUUUAGUGUUUUUUUAAGUUGCUAGGAUGGCAAAAACUUGUGUCGUUUGUGCCGCAUCAUGAUAAAAAGGUGAUUCAAGCCGAUCUUUUCACAAGAUUUCUGAUGCACUGGUUAAAAACACAGCAGCCGAUAAUUCAAUUAAUUUACCAAGUGAUUUACCCUUCAAAGCUGCAAGGGUAGUUUUCCUGAAGAGUGCAAAAACUUCUUUAGCUUCCAAAAUGGUAUAUAGUACAAACAGUGAAGCUAAUAUAGACAAAUCAUUCAUCAUCAACAAUAACUGCAUCUGAGAUUAAUAGUUACUGUGGGGUCUAGGUCAACAAUUACUAUUUCCCAUCCAAUCCGUUUUUGGUUAACUGCUACACAUUCCCUGACUUUGUCAAGGAAAAGGUAAAAAUACACUCAAAAUAGACAUCAUUAUAGCACAUUUAAAAAUUA